This 1343-nucleotide ribosomal RNA is filed under the name Escherichia coli. Its description in RNAcentral is "partial 23S ribosomal RNA". It matches the Rfam family "Bacterial large subunit ribosomal RNA", at positions 165 to 1550 of the family's 2925-position model. The record is from RNAcentral. Lineage: Bacteria; Pseudomonadati; Pseudomonadota; Gammaproteobacteria; Enterobacterales; Enterobacteriaceae.
CAUAGGUUAAUGAGGCGAACCGGGGGAACUGAAACAUCUAAGUACCCCGAGGAAAAGAAAUCAACCGAGAUUCCCCCAGUAGCGGCGAGCGAACGGGGAGCAGCCCAGAGCCUGAAUCAGUGUGUGUGUUAGUGGAAGCGUCUGGAAAGGCGCGCGAUACAGGGUGACAGCCCCGUACACAAAAAUGCACAUACUGUGAGCUCGAUGAGUAGGGCGGGACACGUGGUAUCCUGUCUGAAUAUGGGGGGACCAUCCUCCAAGGCUAAAUACUCCUGACUGACCGAUAGUGAACCAGUACCGUGAGGGAAAGGCGAAAAGAACCCCGGCGAGGGGAGUGAAAAAGAACCUGAAACCGUGUACGUACAAGCAGUGGGAGCACGCUUAGGCGUGUGACUGCGUACCUUUUGUAUAAUGGGUCAGCGACUUAUAUUCUGUAGCAAGGUUAACCGAAUAGGGGAGCCGAAGGGAAACCGAGUCUUAACUGGGCGUUAAGUUGCAGGGUAUAGACCCGAAACCCGGUGAUCUAGCCAUGGGCAGGUUGAAGGUUGGGUAACACUAACUGGAGGACCGAACCGACUAAUGUUGAAAAAUUAGCGGAUGACUUGUGGCUGGGGGUGAAAGGCCAAUCAAACCGGGAGAUAGCUGGUUCUCCCCGAAAGCUAUUUAGGUAGCGCCUCGUGAAUUCAUCUCCGGGGGUAGAGCACUGUUUCGGCAAGGGGGUCAUCCCGACUUACCAACCCGAUGCAAACUGCGAAUACCGGAGAAUGUUAUCACGGGAGACACACGGCGGGUGCUAACGUCCGUCGUGAAGAGGGAAACAACCCAGACCGCCAGCUAAGGUCCCAAAGUCAUGGUUAAGUGGGAAACGAUGUGGGAAGGCCCAGACAGCCAGGAUGUUGGCUUAGAAGCAGCCAUCAUUUAAAGAAAGCGUAAUAGCUCACUGGUCGAGUCGGCCUGCGCGGAAGAUGUAACGGGGCUAAACCAUGCACCGAAGCUGCGGCAGCGACGCUGAUGCGUUGUUGGGUAGGGGAGCGUUCUGUAAGCCUGUGAAGGUGUGCUGUGAGGCAUGCUGGAGGUAUCAGAAGUGCGAAUGCUGACAUAAGUAACGAUAAAGCGGGUGAAAAGCCCGCUCGCCGGAAGACCAAGGGUUCCUGUCCAACGUUAAUCGGGGCAGGGUGAGUCGACCCCUAAGGCGAGGCCGAAAGGCGUAGUCGAUGGGAAACAGGUUAAUAUUCCUGUACUUGGUGUUACUGCGAAGGGGGGACGGAGAAGGCUAUGUUGGCCGGGCGACGGUUGUCCCGGUUUAAGCGUGUAGGCUGGUUUUCCAGGCAAAUCCGGAAAAC